RNAcentral lists this non-coding RNA (72 nucleotides) under Pseudomonas sp. bs2935. Lineage: Bacteria; Pseudomonadati; Pseudomonadota; Gammaproteobacteria; Pseudomonadales; Pseudomonadaceae. The record is from RNAcentral.
UGUGGGAGCUGGCUUGCCUGCGAUAACGGUAGUGAAUGCACCGACGCUAUCGCAGGCAAGCCAGCUCCCACA